This 466-nucleotide ribosomal RNA is filed under the name uncultured bacterium. Its description in RNAcentral is "partial 16S ribosomal RNA". It matches the Rfam family "Bacterial small subunit ribosomal RNA", at positions 28 to 507 of the family's 1533-position model. The record is from RNAcentral.
GACGAACGCUGGCGGCGUGCUUAACACAUGCAAGUCGAACGGUAAGGCUCCAGCUUGCUGGGGUACACGAGUGGCGAACGGGUGAGUAACACGUGGGUGACCUGCCCUGCACUUCGGGAUAAGCCUGGGAAACUGGGUCUAAUACCGGAUAGGACCAUGGUGUGGAUACUGUGGUGGAAAGUUUUUUCGGUGUGGGAUGGGCCCGCGGCCUAUCAGCUUGUUGGUGGGGUAAUGGCCUACCAAGGCGGCGACGGGUAGCCGGCCUGAGAGGGUGGACGGCCACAUUGGGACUGAGACACGGCCCAGACUCCUACGGGAGGCAGCAGUGGGGAAUAUUGCACAAUGGGCGGAAGCCUGAUGCAGCGACGCCGCGUGGGGGAUGACGGCCUUCGGGUUGUAAACUCCUUUCACCAUCGGCGAAGGGUUUCUGACGGUAGAUGGAGAAGAAGCACCGGCUAACUACGUG